Molecule: unclassified non-coding RNA, 702 nt
Filed under: Hevea brasiliensis (rubber tree)
Lineage: Eukaryota; Viridiplantae; Streptophyta; Magnoliopsida; Malpighiales; Euphorbiaceae
Source: RNAcentral
GACUUUUUUUCACCCAAAUGAAAAAGGCAUCUCUGCAAGAUUCUGCCACUUUCCCUGGAAAAACAUCGCAAUUCGCCGCUGAGUGCUGGUUCGACGACGCAUGCAUCCUCAAUAUGGACUAUUUCGUUAAGACCUUAGCCGGGAUUAAGGCUAAGGGUGUCCGUCCUGACCUUAUUGGCUCAAUCAUAGCUCACUACGCCUCCAAAUGGCUACCUGAGCUUUCUGGUGAUAAUGCUUGUGACAGAGGACUAACCAACUUUGAAGAAUCACCCGAAAGUGUCACAGCUUCAUGGAUGAAGAAGAGAUUUUUUGUUGAAACUCUAGUGGGUGUCUUGCCUCCAGAGAAGGACUCAAUUCCAUGCAACUUCCUGCUUCGCCUUCUCCGGACGGCAAACAUGGUUGCUGUAGAGCCUACGUAUAGAGCAGAGCUUGAGAAGAGGAUUUCAUGGCAGCUCGACCAAGCUUCACUGAAAGAGCUAAUGAUACCAUCUUUUAGCCACACUUGUGGGACCUUACUAGACGUUGAGCUAGUGACACGGUUAGUGAAGAGAUUUGUUAAUUUGGAUGAGGCAGCUAAGAGUGGAGCUGCUGCUUUAAUUAAGGUAGCUAAGCUUGUGGACUCUUAUUUAGCAGAAGCAGCUGUGGAUGCUAAUUUGAGUUUGUCAGAGUUUGAUGAUCUUGCUUCUGCUCUCCCUAGCCAUG